This 996-nucleotide long non-coding RNA is filed under the name Chrysemys picta bellii (western painted turtle). RNAcentral's name for it is "lncRNA (ENSCPBG00000011815.1)". The record is from RNAcentral. Lineage: Eukaryota; Metazoa; Chordata; Testudines; Emydidae.
AGCCGCCACUUAUUUGCUGGCUUGACCAUAGCAAGAGAACAGGGAGAGCAGCUGGGGACUGCAGUUUCCCCUUUACUGAGACCAGAAUGAGCAGAGAUGGUCUGGGAACAGGAAGCCUGAUUUUCUGAUAUCCUGAUCCUUGUGCUCUCAUUUGCACCAGUACAAAGUGAGUGUGAUACAUUACCAUCCUCUUUUAGCAGCCCUUUGCCCUGAUGCAAACACAGCACCAGGUGCAGGGCAACAACAAUUCAGCCCCGGAGAGCCACUGAAGCUGGUCCCUAUCUAAACCUGAGGAGCAGAAGAGAGAGGUCACUGGAGAGAGCAUCUAAACCUCAAGGAGCAAAGCAGAACACAGCAGCGACCAGCUGUGGCUUCCCAUUGGCCUGAAUCCUGCAGAGAAGAAGGUGACCCACAGCACCAAGUCACUGCAGCUCCUAGGCUGUGAGGAGCAUCAGACAGAAAGGAGACUGGAGAACAGAGCUAGUCCUUUGUCUGAGACCCAAGGACUUGGAGGAGAUUCAGAGCAGAUCCCUUUGUUCUUGGGGAGCAGAAGCCACUGCAGAAUUUGAAGGCAGUUGAAUGAAUGCUGAUUCCAGCAAUGAUUCUUGCACUGUGUCUGUGGCUUGUUUCUUUGAGUUUUACAUCCCAGCAGCAGCUGGCCUCCAACUGCAUUUCCUCAUCAGGGGAUCUCCUUGCUCCUGAACUAUAUCUGGACAAGUCAUCGGCUUAUGUGGGCGACACUGUUCUUUAUCGGUGUCUCACCCCCUCGGACGCCCCUGUGAGCUUCGCUUUCCUUUGCAAGGAUGGCAAGGAAAUGACCAGGAAACCGGCUGUGCCAGGGAAAUUGUCCUUUGACUUUCCCCAUCAUGUGUCUGGGCAGAGUUCGGGCAACUAUUCCUGUGGGUAUCAGCACAAGAGCCUCCACAACCAAGUGCAGAGUUCUCACCUCAGCAUCACCCACUACCUGAGUGUCACAAGUGAGUAAGCGUCCAUUGU